AUGAACGCUGGCGGCGUGCCUAAUACAUGCAAGCCGAGCGAACGGACGAGAAGCUUGCUUCUCUGAUGUUAGCGGCGGACGGGUGAGUAACACGUGGAUAACCUACCUAUAAGACUGGGAUAACUUCGGGAAACGGAGCCAAUAACGGAUAAUAUUUUUAACCGCAUGGUUUCAAAGUGAAAGACGGUCUUUCCUGUAAUUAUAGAUUGAUCCGCGCUGCAUUUGCUAGUUGGUAAGGUUACGGCUUACCAAAGGAAAGAUGCAUAGCCGACCUUAGGGGGUGAUCGGCCACAAUGGAACUGAGACACGGUCCAGACUCCUACGGGAGGGAGCAGUAGGGAAUCUUCCGCAAUGGGCGAAAGCCUGACGGAGCAACGCCGCGUGAGUGAUGAAGGUCUUCGGAUCGUAAAACUCUGUUAUUAGGGAAGAACAUAUGUGUAAGUAACUGUGCACAUCGUGACGGUACCUAAUCAGAAAGCCACGGCUAACUACGUG
This 495-nucleotide ribosomal RNA is filed under the name uncultured bacterium. RNAcentral's name for it is "partial 16S ribosomal RNA". It matches the Rfam family "Bacterial small subunit ribosomal RNA", at positions 29 to 507 of the family's 1533-position model. The record is from RNAcentral.